This 460-nucleotide ribosomal RNA is filed under the name uncultured bacterium. Its description in RNAcentral is "partial 16S ribosomal RNA". It matches the Rfam family "Bacterial small subunit ribosomal RNA", at positions 338 to 795 of the family's 1533-position model. The record is from RNAcentral.
CCUACGGGAGGCAGCAGUGAGGAAUAUUGGUCAAUGGACGAGAGUCUGAACCAGCCAAGUAGCGUGAAGGAUGACUGCCCUAUGGGUUGUAAACUUCUUUUAUAUGGGAAUAAAACGUUCCACGUGUGGGAUUUUGUAUGUACCAUAUGAAUAAGGAUCGGCUAACUCCGUGCCAGCAGCCGCGGUAAUACGGAGGAUACGAGCGUUAUCCGGAUUUAUUGGGUUUAAAGGGAGCGUAGGUGGACUGUUAAGUCAGUUGUGAAAGUUUGCGGCUCAACCGUAAAAUUGCAGUUGAAACUGGCAGUCUUGAGUACAGUAGAGGUGGGCGGAAUUCGUGGUGUAGCGGUGAAAUGCUUAGAUAUCACGAAGAACUCCGAUUGCGAAGGCAGUUCACUGGACUGCAACUGACACUGAGGCUCGAAAGUGUGGGUAUCAAACAGGAUUAGAUACCCGUGUAGUC